RNAcentral lists this ribosomal RNA (499 nucleotides) under uncultured bacterium. Its description in RNAcentral is "partial 16S ribosomal RNA". It matches the Rfam family "Bacterial small subunit ribosomal RNA", at positions 28 to 507 of the family's 1533-position model. The record is from RNAcentral.
GACGAACGCUGGCGGCGUGCCUAAUACAUGCAAGUCGAGCGAAGUUUUUCUGGUGCUUGCACUAGAAAAACUUAGCGGCGCACGGGUGAGUAACACGUAAAGAACCUGCCUCAUAGACUGGGACAACUAUUGGAAACGAUAGCUAAUACCGGAUAACAGCAUUAACUGCAUGGUUGAUGUUUAAAAGUUGGUUUUGCUAACACUAUGAGAUGGCUUUGCGGUGCAUUAGCUAGUUGGUGGGGUAAAGGCCUACCAAGGCGACGAUGCAUAGCCGACCUGAGAGGGUGAUCGGCCACACUGGAACUGAGACACGGCCCAGACUCCUACGGGAGGCAGCAGUAGGGAAUCUUCCGCAAUGGGCGAAAGCCUGACGGAGCAACGCCGCGUGAGUGAAGAAGGAUUUCGGUUCGUAAAGCUCUGUUGUUAGGGAAGAAUGAUUGUGUAGUAACUAUACACAGUAGAGACGGUACCUAACCAGAAAGCCACGGCUAACUACGUG